RNAcentral lists this ribosomal RNA (482 nucleotides) under uncultured bacterium. RNAcentral's name for it is "partial 16S ribosomal RNA". It matches the Rfam family "Bacterial small subunit ribosomal RNA", at positions 30 to 507 of the family's 1533-position model. The record is from RNAcentral.
AUUGAACGCUGGCGGCAUGCCUUACACAUGCAAGUCGAACGGUAACAGGUCUUCGGAUGCUGACGAGUGGCGAACGGGUGAGUAAUACAUCGGAACGUGCCCAGACGCGGGGGAUAACGAGGCGAAAGCUUUGCUAAUACCGCAUACGAUCUAAGGAUGAAAGCAGGGGACCGCAAGGCCUUGUGCGGUUGGAGCGGCCGAUGGCAGAUGAGGUAGUUGGUGGGAUAAAAGCUUACCAAGCCGACGAUCUGUAGCUGGUCUGAGAGGACGACCAGCCACACUGGGACUGAGACACGGCCCAGACUCCUACGGGAGGCAGCAGUGGGGAAUUUUGGACAAUGGGCGAAAGCCUGAUCCAGCAAUGCCGCGUGCAGGAUGAAGGCCUUCGGGUUGUAAACUGCUUUUGUACGGAACGAAAAGGCUCUGGCUAAUACCUGGGGCACAUGACGGUACCGUAAGAAUAAGCACCGGCUAACUACGUG